This 463-nucleotide ribosomal RNA is filed under the name uncultured bacterium. Its description in RNAcentral is "bacterial SSU rRNA". It matches the Rfam family "Bacterial small subunit ribosomal RNA", at positions 335 to 790 of the family's 1533-position model. The record is from RNAcentral.
ACUCCUACGGGAGGCAGCAGUAGGGAAUCUUCCACAAUGGGCGCAAGCCUGAUGGAGCAACACCGCGUGAGUGAAGAAGGGUUUCGGCUCGUAAAGCUCUGUUGUUAAAGAAGAACACGUAUGAGAGUAACUGUUCAUACGUUGACGGUAUUUAACCAGAAAGUCACGGCUAACUACGUGCCAGCAGCCGCGGUAAUACGUAGGUGGCAAGCGUUAUCCGGAUUUAUUGGGCGUAAAGAGAGUGCAGGCGGUUUUCUAAGUCUGAUGUGAAAGCCUUCGGCUUAACCGGAGAAGUGCAUCGGAAACUGGAUAACUUGAGUGCAGAAGAGGGUAGUGGAACUCCAUGUGUAGCGGUGGAAUGCGUAGAUAUAUGGAAGAACACCAGUGGCGAAGGCGGCUACCUGGUCUGCAACUGACGCUGAGACUCGAAAGCAUGGGUAGCGAACAGGAUUAGAUACCCCGU